RNAcentral lists this ribosomal RNA (2165 nucleotides) under Proteus mirabilis. RNAcentral's name for it is "bacterial LSU rRNA". It matches the Rfam family "Bacterial large subunit ribosomal RNA", at positions 1 to 2184 of the family's 2925-position model. Lineage: Bacteria; Pseudomonadati; Pseudomonadota; Gammaproteobacteria; Enterobacterales; Morganellaceae. The record is from RNAcentral.
UUAAGCGAAUAAGCGUACACGGUGGAUGCCUAGGCAAUCAGAGGCGAUGAAGGACGUGCUAAUCUGCGAAAAGCGUCGGUAAGGUGAUAUGAACCGUUAUACCCGACGAUAUCCGAAUGGGGAAACCCAGUAUCCAAUGGAUACUAUCAUUAACUGAAUCCAUAGGUUAAUGAGGCGAACCGGGAGAACUGAAACAUCUCAGUACCCCGAGGAAAAGAAAUCAACCGAGAUUCCCCUAGUAGCGGCGAGCGAACGGGGAGCAGCCCAGAGUCUUAAUCAAUAACAGUGUCAGGAGAACGGUCUGGAAAGUCCGGCAGUAAAGGGUGAUAGCCCCGUAUCUGAAGAUGCUGUUAUUGUGAACUCGACGAGUAGGGCGGGACACGUGUUAUCCUGUCUGAAUAUGGGGGGACCAUCCUCCAAGGCUAAAUACUCCUGAUUGACCGAUAGUGAACCAGUACCGUGAGGGAAAGGCGAAAAGAACCCCGGCGAGGGGAGUGAAAAAGAACCUGAAACCGUGUACGUACAAGCAGUAGGAGCCUCUUUAUGGGGUGACUGCGUACCUUUUGUAUAAUGGGUCAGCGACUUAUAUUCUGUAGCAAGGUUAACCGUAUAGGGGAGCCGUAGGGAAACCGAGUCUUAACUGGGCGAAUGAGUUGCAGGGUAUAGACCCGAAACCCGGUGAUCUAUCCAUGGGCAGGUUGAAGGUUGGGUAACACUAACUGGAGGACCGAACCGACUAAUGUUGAAAAAUUAGGCGGAUGACUUGUGGAUGGGGGUGAAAGGCCAAUCAAACCGGGAGAUAGCUGGUUCUCCCCGAAAGCUAUUUAGGUAGCGCCUCGUGAACUCAUCUUCGGGGGUAGAGCACUGUUUCGACUAGGGGGUCAUCCCCGACUUACCAACUCGAUGCAAACUGCGAAUACCGAAGAAUGUUAUCACGGGAGACACACGGCGGGUGCUAACGUCCGUCGUGAAGAGGGAAACAACCCAGACCGCCAGCUAAGGUCCCAAAGUCAUGGUUAAGUGGGAAACGAAGUGGGAAGGCUCAGACAGCCAGGAUGUUGGCUUAGAAGCAGCCAUCAUUUUAAAGAAAGCGUAAUAGCUCACUGGUCGAGUCGGCCCGCGCGAAGAUGUAACGGGGCUAAACCAUGCACCGAAGCUGCGGCAGCGACACAAAGUGUUUGUUGGGUAGGGGAGCGUUCUGUAAGCCUGCGAAGGUGUACUGUGAGGUAUGCUGGAGGUAUCAGAAGUGCGAAUGCUGACAUAAGUAACGAUAAUGCGGGUGAAAAACCCGCACGCCGGAAGACCAAGGGUUCCUGUCCAACGUUAAUCGGGGCAGGGGUGAGUCGACCCCUAAGGCGAGGCUGAAAAAGCGUAGUCGAUGGGAAACGGGUUAAUAUUCCCGUACUGGUGGUAACUGCGAUGGGGGAACGGAGAAGGCUAGGUUGUCCGGGCGACGGUCGUCCCGGUUUCAAGCAGGUAGGCAGAGUGAUUAGGCAAAUCCGGUCACUUAAUGCUGAGAUGUGAUGACGAACCACUAAGGUGGUGAAGCAAUUGAUGCCCCCGCUUCCAGGAAAAGCCUCUAAGCUUCAGGUUACCAACAAUCGUACCCCAAACCGACACAGGUGGUCAGGUAGAGAAAUACUCCAGGCGCUUGAGAGAACUCGGUGAAGGAACUAGGGCAAAAUGGUGCCGUAACUUCGGGAGAAGGCACGCUGGCGGUAGGUAAAGUCCCUCCGCGGACGGCGCUGAAGCCAGUCGAAGAUACCAGCUGGCUGCAACUGUUUAUUAAAAACACAGCACUGUGCAAACACGAAAGUGGACGUAUACGGUGUGACGCCUGCCCGGUGCUGGAAGGUUAAUUGAUGGGGUUAGCCGCAAGGCGAAGCUCCUGAUCGAAGCCCCAGUAAACGGCGGCCGUAACUAUAACGGUCCUAAGGUAGCGAAAUUCCUUGUCGGGUAAGUUCCGACCUGCACGAAUGGCGUAAUGAUGGCCAGGCUGUCUCCACCCGAGACUCAGUGAAAUUGAACUCGCUGUGAAGAUGCAGUGUACCCGCGGCAAGACGGAAAGACCCCGUGAACCUUUACUAUAGCUUGACACUGAACAUUGAGCCUUGAUGUGUAGGAUAGGUGGGAGGCUUUGAAGUGUGGACGCCAGUCUGCAUGGA